This is a long non-coding RNA of Cucumis sativus (cucumber), 1274 nucleotides long. RefSeq lists it as uncharacterized. The transcript is spliced from 2 exons. The record is from RefSeq and is a predicted model, not a curated record. Lineage: Eukaryota; Viridiplantae; Streptophyta; Magnoliopsida; Cucurbitales; Cucurbitaceae.
UUAAAUCUUUCUUUAGUUGACCACCUACAAUGAGUAUUGUCAUUUAAGCAUAAAUUGAUCGAAAAAAAUAAUAGAAAAAACCAAUCUUGAGUUGUCAUUGACGCAAGUGUUCUUUUCUUUCUAAAAAAAUCAUGGUUAGCCUUAGGUUUAUGUAAAUAUUUCUAAAUUCAUGGUUAGCCUUAGGUUUAUGUAAGUAUUUCCAAAUGCACCGGUAUUUAGUUUUCAAUUAAUUUUUGAGUAUUAAAUGAUUAUGUAAAUUCUUCUAUCCGUUCAUUUGGUAUUAGAAACAUCUCAAAAUUUCCAUUAGUUCGGUGGAACUUUGCAUUAUGAAUGUAGAUAUUUUACAAUAUUUCCUUGCUUCUUAGGACGUUUUUCUUUUGUAAAUCUUGUAAAUUAGAGUUCAAAAUUGUAUUAGUGGUAUUAUUUUUUGAGAAAAAGGGUAUCAAAUUCAACCAAAACGGACUACUAGAAGGCCUCAAAUGGAAUGUUUUUCGACACCACAUGAAAACCGUGAUGAGAAAGAAACAAAAGAAAAAGAUAUGGCAGCCCAUAUGGAGGUUCAAGAAGGCCUGACGUUAGCAUGACAUCAGCAAACGCUGGGCGUGGCUGACGGCUUAGAGAGGCGUGACAUGACUCGACGACUCGGCUUCAGGUGGUUUGCACGUGGUCGACUCCAUUUUAAGGUGGUCGGCUUUGAUUUGGUGCGCUUUAGCUUCUGGCUUGCGGUUCGGGUUCGAUUCCUCACUAGGUAACUAUAAACUCAUGUUCACUUGGAAUUGUCCUCAGAUGUGGAUAUAGGUGAGGUAAACUCGUUAUCGUUGGUCCAAUAGAUCUUCCAUUUUAGGACUAAGAUCAGGUGGAUAGCUAGAGACAUAGGGUGCAAGAUGGAAUUCGCUUCUAAGGAUCGUAGAGAAGUUCCGUUAAGUGCUGAGAAGGUGAGGUCAACUCGUUAUUGUUGGCUCUACUCUCUCGUUGACUUGAGAGGGACUUAGUUUAAUGGAUGAACCAUGAACCAAUAUUUCAUUAGAGAAUCAGUUGAGGCUUAAGGAACACGAUGUAAUUUCGAAGGUAAAACAAUAUUUUGACCUAGAUAUAGUGGACAGUUCCGUUAGUUAACGAAUCUUGAUUAACUAGGUUAAAAAAGUUUAGUGGGUUAAUAUGAGAUUUUUUGAGCACAUGCUAUGUUGGUCUAUUAGGUAUUCCUACUAGCUCAUAAUGAAUUAAAAUUAAAAAAUAUUGUGAUCAAAAAAUGGAAUUGUUGAAAUUGACAUUGA